Vespa mandarinia (Asian giant hornet) is the source of this 568-nucleotide long non-coding RNA. RefSeq lists it as uncharacterized. The record is from RefSeq and is a predicted model, not a curated record. Lineage: Eukaryota; Metazoa; Arthropoda; Insecta; Hymenoptera; Vespidae.
UAAUACGUUGGAACUUUCAAAUUCUCUCGUUAGUUGUCAUUUUGUCUUACUUUUUAUCUAUUGUAAAAUUGUUAAGUCAUGCGGGGAAAAAGUGGAAAAAAAAAAUAGAAAAAAAAAAGAAAAAAAAAAAGAAAAAUGGAAUUAAUCUUAAGCAAUACAUUCAUCGGGUAACCUUAGUGAAAUUGUGAAAUUACGCGAAGUAAAGAUAAUAAUCUAAUUACGUGAUAUUUGAAGGUUACGUAAUAUUUCGAGAAUUUAGAAAGAUCAAUUGCUAUGCCUCGACAUACGUAUUAUGCAACGAUCUCUUCAAGCGAAGACAUGAAAAUAAACGGCGCGCUGCCUGGCCCUCCGAAACCCCCCUUCGGUCCCUUCGCCACGCCAUCAUUAGUCAAUGUCGACGCUUGUAGCACAUGGAGCCCCGCAGAAUGCAGCAUCUGCCUGAUAUCCCCUAGUAUCUCUCUCCUACAAAUCUGUGCCACGGAUCCUGCCGCAAAGUCACUCAAGCCAUCGUAUAUUCCUCUCGUACAAGGCAUCUUUCUAGUUUUGUUGAUAUUUCUUAUGGAUUAAU